RNAcentral lists this ribosomal RNA (250 nucleotides) under uncultured bacterium. RNAcentral's name for it is "partial 16S ribosomal RNA". It matches the Rfam family "Bacterial small subunit ribosomal RNA", at positions 524 to 772 of the family's 1533-position model. The record is from RNAcentral.
UACGUAGGGGGCAAGCGUUAUCCGGAAUUACUGGGUGUAAAGGGAGCGUAGGCGGCAUGGUAAGUUAGAUGUGAAAGCCCGGGGCUUAACCCCGAGGAUUGCAUUUAAAACUAUCAAGCUAGAGUACAGGAGAGGAAAGCGGAAUUCCUAGUGUAGCGGUGAAAUGCGUAGAUAUUAGGAAGAACACCAGUGGCGAAGGCGGCUUUCUGGACUGAAACUGACGCUGAUGCUCGAAAGCGUGGGGAGCGAA